GAGUCCCGAGGCUCCUCCCUCCGCUUCCCCCUGCCGGCAGGGUGUCCCGUGCCUCCUUGGAAGACGGAAGCCGAGGAGGAGGGAGAGUCGGAGGAGCGGCGGCAGCGGGAUGGGUGACUCCAAAGUGAAGGUGGCGGUGCGGGUGCGUCCCAUGAACAGGAGAGAGUUUGAUCUGCAUACAAAAUGUGUGGUGGAUGUGGACACAAACAAGGUCAUUCUUCACCCUGUAAACACCAAACUUGCAAAGGGAGAUGCCAGGUCAACCCUACCCACUUGUUAAUCAUACAGGUGAUCACAAGGCUGAUUGAGGAUGACAAAGAGAACAAAGGCUCAAAAAAUAUCCAGACACGCAAUCACAAGUGACACUGUGACUUUAACCUAAAAGACAGAGAACCAAACAAGCUCACUCACCUCGAGAUUAGUACUCACACCUUGCUCAGAAGGGAGUUGUCCUUCUCUCCCUCUCAAACUUCUCUGUAUGCUAACAUGACCAAUAAUUGUAGUUAAAGAAGCUUUGUGCAUUCUUAUGGGGGUUCAUAGCUUUUUGGUGAGGAAGGACUGAAGUGUACACGUUGAAAUAUUGUAUAUAGUCUUCUAAAUAUUAUUCCAUACCUGCUGUGGAAAGGAAAGUGCCUAUGAUUGUAGGCUCAUUAAGGGAUAUUGAGUCAGAGAUGAAUUUCAUAUACACCUCUACCCCGUUAUAAUGCCACCCAAUAUAACACAAAUUUGGAUA
Molecule: non-coding RNA, 733 nt
Organism: Chelonoidis abingdonii (Abingdon island giant tortoise)
Lineage: Eukaryota; Metazoa; Chordata; Testudines; Testudinidae
Source: RefSeq, a predicted model, not a curated record